Molecule: ribosomal RNA, 327 nt
Filed under: Eupsittula aurea (peach-fronted parakeet)
Lineage: Eukaryota; Metazoa; Chordata; Aves; Psittaciformes; Psittacidae
Description: partial large subunit ribosomal RNA
Rfam family: Bacterial large subunit ribosomal RNA (bases 210-327)
Source: RNAcentral
CAAAAUCAGUAGCCACCCCACCCAACUUACAAACCCACCCGGUCCACCACCCAAAACACUGGCUAACAUUUUUAGGUUGGGGCGACCUUGGAGAAAAACAAAUCCUCCAAAAACAAGGCCAAAUCCCUUAACUAAGAGCAACCCCUCAACGUGCUAACAGCACCCAGACCCAGCAAGCAAGCCUGACCAAUGAACCAAGCUACCCCAGGGAUAACAGCGCAAUCUCCCCCAAGAGCCCCUAUCGACGAGGAGGUUUACGACCUCGAUGUUGGAUCAGGACAUCCUAGUGGUGCAGCCGCUACUAAGGGUUCGUGUCAACGAUAUCGG